RNAcentral lists this ribosomal RNA (1346 nucleotides) under uncultured bacterium. RNAcentral describes it as "partial 16S ribosomal RNA". It matches the Rfam family "Bacterial small subunit ribosomal RNA", at positions 28 to 1381 of the family's 1533-position model. The record is from RNAcentral.
GACGAACGCUGGCGGCGUGCUUAACACAUGCAAGUCGAACGGAAAGGCCCUGCUUUUGUGGGGUGCUCGAGUGGCGAACGGGUGAGUAACACGUGAGUAACCUGCCCUUGACUUUGGGAUAACUUCAGGAAACUGGGGCUAAUACCGGAUAGGAGCUCCUGCUGCAUGGUGGGGGUUGGAAAGUUUCGGCGGUUGGGGAUGGACUCGCGGCUUAUCAGCUUGUUGGUGGGGUAGUGGCUUACCAAGGCUUUGACGGGUAGCCGGCCUGAGAGGGUGACCGGCCACAUUGGGACUGAGAUACGGCCCAGACUCCUACGGGAGGCAGCAGUGGGGAAUAUUGCACAAUGGGCGGAAGCCUGAUGCAGCAACGCCGCGUGCGGGAUGACGGCCUUCGGGUUGUAAACCGCUUUCGCCUGUGACGAAGCGUGAGUGACGGUAAUGGGUAAAGAAGCACCGGCUAACUACGUGCCAGCAGCCGCGGUGAUACGUAGGGUGCGAGCGUUGUCCGGAUUUAUUGGGCGUAAAGGGCUCGUAGGUGGUUGAUCGCGUCGGAAGUGUAAUCUUGGGGCUUAACCCUGAGCGUGCUUUCGAUACGGGUUGACUUGAGGAAGGUAGGGGAGAAUGGAAUUCCUGGUGGAGCGGUGGAAUGCGCAGAUAUCAGGAGGAACACCAGUGGCGAAGGCGGUUCUCUGGGCCUUUCCUGACGCUGAGGAGCGAAAGCGUGGGGAGCGAACAGGCUUAGAUACCCUGGUAGUCCACGCUGUAAACGGUGGGUACUAGGUGUGGGGUCCAUUCCACGGGUUCCGUGCCGUAGCUAACGCUUUAAGUACCCCGCCUGGGGAGUACGGCCGCAAGGCUAAAACUCAAAGGAAUUGACGGGGCCCCGCACAAGCGGCGGAGCAUGCGGAUUAAUUCGAUGCAACGCGUAGAACCUUACCUGGGUUUGACAUGGAUCGGGAGUGCUCAGAGAUGGGUGUGCCUCUUUUGGGGUCGGUUCACAGGUGGUGCAUGGCUGUCGUCAGCUCGUGUCGUGAGAUGUUGGGUUAAGUCCCGCAACGAGCGCAACCCUUGUUCACUGUUGCCAGCACGUUAUGGUGGGGACUCAGUGGAGACCGCCGGGGUCAACUCGGAGGAAGGUGGGGAUGACGUCAAGUCAUCAUGCCCCUUAUGUCCAGGGCUUCACGCAUGCUACAAUGGCUGGUACAGAGAGUGGCGAGCCUGUGAGGGUGAGCGAAUCUCGGAAAGUCGGUCUCAGUUCGGAUUGGGGUCUGCAACUCGACCUCAUGAAGUCGGAGUCGCUAGUAAUCGCAGAUCAGCAACGCUGCGGGGAAUACGUUCCCGGGGCU